AGGACGAACGCUGGCGGCGUGCUUAACACAUGCAAGUCGAGCGGAAAGGCCCUUCGGGGUACUCGAGCGGCGAACGGGUGAGUAACACGUGAGCAAUCUGCCCUUAGCUUCGGGAUAGCUCCGGGAAACCGGAAUUAAUACCGGAUAUGACUAUGGCUGACAUCAGCCACGGUGGAAAGUUUUUCGGCUAGGGAUGAGCUCGCGGCCUAUCAGCUAGUUGGUGGGGUGACGGCCUACCAAGGCGACGACGGGUA
This 254-nucleotide ribosomal RNA is filed under the name uncultured bacterium. RNAcentral's name for it is "partial small subunit ribosomal RNA". It matches the Rfam family "Bacterial small subunit ribosomal RNA", at positions 26 to 285 of the family's 1533-position model. The record is from RNAcentral.